CUACGGGGUGCUGCAGUGGGGAAUAUUGGACAAUGGGGGGAACCCUGAUCCAGCGAUGCCGCGUGUGUGAAGAAGGCCUGCGGGUUGUAAAGCACUUUAGCUAGGGAGGAGUAGGUUGAGUUUAAGAGACACAACCGAGGACGUUACCUAGAGAAUAAGCACCGGCUAACUCUGUGCCAGCAGCCGCGGUAAUACAGAGGGUGCAAGCGUUAAUCGGAUUUACUGGGCGUAAAGGGUGCGUAGGUGGUUUGCUAAGUCAGAUGUGAAAUACCCGGGCUCAACCUGGGGGUGUCAUUUGAAACUGGCAGACUAGAGUCGAGGAGAGGGGAGCGGAAUUUCCGGUGUAGCGGUGAAAUGCGUAGAUAUCGGAAGGAACACCCGUGGCGAAGGCGGCUCUCUGGACUCAGACUGACACUGAGGCACGAAAGCGUGGGUAGCGAACAGGAUUAGAUACCCUGGUAGUC
RNAcentral lists this ribosomal RNA (464 nucleotides) under uncultured bacterium. Its description in RNAcentral is "partial 16S ribosomal RNA". It matches the Rfam family "Bacterial small subunit ribosomal RNA", at positions 339 to 795 of the family's 1533-position model. The record is from RNAcentral.